GUGGGGAAUAUUGGGCAAUGGGCGCAAGCCUGACCCAGCAAUGCCGCGUGGGUGAAGAAGGUCUUCGGAUUGUAAAGCCCUUUCGGCGGGGACGAUGAUGACGGUACCCGCAGAAGAAGCCCCGGCUAACUUCGUGCCAGCAGCCGCGGUAAUACGAAGGGGGCUAGCGUUGCUCGGAAUUACUGGGCGUAAAGGGCGCGUAGGUGGCCUUGUUAGUCAGGCGUGAAAUUCCUGGGCUCAACCUGGGGGCUGCGCUUGAUACGGCAGGGCUUGAGGGUGGAAGAGGCUCGUGGAAUUCCCAGUGUAGAGGUGAAAUUCGUAGAUAUUGGGAAGAACACCGGUGGCGAAGGCGGCGAGCUGGUCCAUACCUGACACUGAGGCGCGACAGCGUGGGGAGCAAACAGGAUUAGAAACCCUGGUAGUCC
RNAcentral lists this ribosomal RNA (425 nucleotides) under uncultured bacterium. RNAcentral's name for it is "bacterial SSU rRNA". It matches the Rfam family "Bacterial small subunit ribosomal RNA", at positions 354 to 796 of the family's 1533-position model. The record is from RNAcentral.